UUGCGUUUAAAUACCGGUUCCCGUACGAUCACCGAGGUUAAGCAACGUCGAGCCUUGUCUGUACCUAAAUUGGUGACCGCUUGGGAAUAACAGGUUCUGUAAG
Molecule: non-coding RNA, 103 nt
Organism: Acanthosepion pharaonis
Lineage: Eukaryota; Metazoa; Mollusca; Cephalopoda; Sepiida; Sepiidae
Source: the annotation of a GenBank genome assembly